Long non-coding RNA from Musa acuminata AAA Group (dessert banana), 1141 nucleotides. RefSeq lists it as uncharacterized. The record is from RefSeq and is a predicted model, not a curated record. The transcript is spliced from 3 exons. NCBI's taxonomy places the organism in Eukaryota, Viridiplantae, Streptophyta, Magnoliopsida, Zingiberales, Musaceae.
GAUGUUCCAUCUCGAUAGCCGUGCUGGUUAAACAGAAGGUUCAAGAACCAAACCAGUUCCGUUGCUUCGAAGUGGUGGCAGCGCUCUUCGCUCGCUCCGCUACCGUCUCCGUCAUCCCUUCUUGGAUGUCCUCCUGAGGCGAAGAAUCGAAAGCCGACCCAAAAGAGAAGGUUCCGGAACCAGACCCGCUCCGUAUUGCUCUCUAGUGAUGGCAGAGCUCUUCGCUCGUUCGCUCGCUCGCUCGCUCCUCUACCAUCUCCGUGACCCCUUCUUGGAGGCCCUCCUCAGGAAGGUUCUCGAAGGACUACGGAGAGUCGGCUGAGAUGAAGACGACAAUGGUUUAUUUAUUUCAGAUGAAGAAAAUUAUUCUCAAUUUCUCAUGUCGAGGUAAUUUCGAUGUCUUUUAGCAAGAAACCUGCAACUUCAGUUUUAUUAGUUGUUAGCCUUUUUUUAUUUAUGAAUUCGAUCGGUCAAAUAAGCAUUUAAUGGCUUUGUUGGAGCUGAGUUCUUUUAAUGGGCUUCAAAAGAACAACAGUGACAUUUUAGUUUCCAGAAUUCAUGUGCGGAAAAAAAAAAUUCAAUGCCUAAUAAUUCAAGAAACAAUUAUACUCGACGAAAUUUAAGUAGGUACAGAAAUCCAAUAAAGAACUUUCUUUAGUGUUCACUUAUCAACGUAUAAGUUUGAAUUUCCUUUUUUUUUUUUUGCAAUUAUGAGAUUUCAAAAACUCCAAUUGAUUAUCGGUUCUUAUAUAUUAAAACUGGUUCUAAUUUUAUUUAUUUAUUUCAUGCUUGUUUAGUCUAUAGGACUAUAUUUGGUUUGGCUGAAAGGAUCUUUUAACGUCAUCAACAUUACCAUCUAGGAUGAAGUUUUCUUAGCCUUGGUUUUUUUGGCACUCUUAGUUCUGCUCUCACGUAGCGAAGUGCAUACGACUGAUACAUCUUGGUUGACAUCAACGUGCACUGUUUUGGAAAGACACUUUUGCUUAUUGAUCAUCUAUGAUUCUUCCAUUUGGACCCUGUAUCUUGCUCUUGUUCCAGUUAUAGUAUGCACAUUGUAAUGCUUCAUAGCAUGCGCUACUUCCCUCCAGGGUAAAGAUAGUGGCGGAUAUUCAAUUAGUCACACGGUAGAAUCAAAGUUUCA